Molecule: non-coding RNA, 149 nt
Filed under: Nomascus leucogenys (northern white-cheeked gibbon)
Lineage: Eukaryota; Metazoa; Chordata; Mammalia; Primates; Hylobatidae
Source: Rfam by way of RNAcentral
GCUGGGCGUGGUGGCGCAUGCCUAUAAUCCCAGCUACUCGGGAGGCUGAGGCAGUAGAAUCACUUGAACCCGGCGGGGCAGAGGUUGCAGUGGGCCCAGAUUAGGCCACUGCAGUCCAGGCUGGGUGACAGGGUGAGACUCUAUCUCAA